AGCAGUAGCCGCGGGAAUACAGAGGGUGCGAGCGUUAAUCGGAUUUACUGGGCGUAAAGCGUGCGUAGGCGGCUAAUUGAGUCGGAUGUGAAAUCCCCGAGCUUAACUUGGGAAUUGCAUUCGAUACUGGUUAGCUAGAGUGUGGGAGAGGAUGGUAGAAUUCCAGGUGUAGCGGUGAAAUGCGUAGAGAUCUGGAGGAAUACCGGUGGCGAAGGCGGCCCCCUGGACAAAGACUGACGCUCAGGUGCGAAAGCGUGGGGAGCAAACAGGAUUAGAUACCCCCGUAGUCCCUGUCUCUUAUAC
This 303-nucleotide ribosomal RNA is filed under the name uncultured bacterium. RNAcentral describes it as "partial 16S ribosomal RNA". It matches the Rfam family "Bacterial small subunit ribosomal RNA", at positions 507 to 807 of the family's 1533-position model. The record is from RNAcentral.